GGGGAUUUAGCUCACUGGUAGAGCGCUUGCCUAGCAAGCGCAAGGUCCUGGGUUCAAUCCCCAGCUCCA
This 69-nucleotide transfer RNA is filed under the name Rattus norvegicus (Norway rat). It matches the Rfam family "tRNA". From Rfam's summary of the family: Transfer RNA (tRNA) molecules are approximately 80 nucleotides in length. Their secondary structure includes four short double-helical elements and three loops (D, anti-codon, and T loops). The record is from Rfam by way of RNAcentral. Lineage: Eukaryota; Metazoa; Chordata; Mammalia; Rodentia; Muridae.